UACGGAGGGGGCCAGCGUUGUUCGGAAUCAUUGGGCGUAAAGGGCGCGUAGGCGGCCACGCAAGUCGGAUGUGAAAUCCCUCGGCUCAACCGGGGAACUGCAUCCGAAACUGCGAGGCUCGAGUCCUGGAGAGGGUAGUGGAAUUCCCAGUGUAGCGGUGAAAUGCGUAGAUACUGGGAGGAACACCGGUGGCGAAGGCGGCUACCUGGACAGGUACUGACACUGAGGCACGAAGGCCAGGGGAGCAAACGGG
RNAcentral lists this ribosomal RNA (253 nucleotides) under uncultured prokaryote. RNAcentral describes it as "partial 16S ribosomal RNA". It matches the Rfam family "Bacterial small subunit ribosomal RNA", at positions 524 to 776 of the family's 1533-position model. The record is from RNAcentral.